RNAcentral lists this RNase P RNA (429 nucleotides) under Verrucomicrobiaceae bacterium. RNAcentral describes it as "RNase P RNA component class A". It matches the Rfam family "Bacterial RNase P class A". From Rfam's summary of the family: Ribonuclease P (RNase P) is a ubiquitous endoribonuclease, found in archaea, bacteria and eukarya as well as chloroplasts and mitochondria. Its best characterised activity is the generation of mature 5'-ends of tRNAs by cleaving the 5'-leader elements of precursor-tRNAs. The record is from RNAcentral. Lineage: Bacteria; Pseudomonadati; Verrucomicrobiota; Verrucomicrobiia; Verrucomicrobiales; Verrucomicrobiaceae.
CGGGUCGGCCGGAGUGGUCGCCCGUGAUUCAUCGCAAGAUGAGGCGCGGGAGGAAAGUCCGGACACCACAAGGCAGCAUGCCACGCGAAAGCGUGGGGGCCGCGACGCAAGCCGCGGUCACAGACAGUGUCACAGAAAACAAACCGCCUCCGCGCAAGUGGCGGCAAGGGUGAAAAGGCGGGGUAAGAGCCCACCGCCCCGACCGUGAGGAAGGGGGCACGACAAACCUCAUGCGGUGCAAGACAGAACAGGAGAAACGGCCCGCCUGGCCGCAAGUCCCGCAAGGGAUGGAUGCCUCCGGGUAAUAGUCGCACCACUGCCGCGAGGCGGGGGCGGGCCGGUCGCUCUGGCCCGACAGAUAAAUGAUCACAGCAAGAUGCCGCGAGGUGUCGAGACACAGAAUCCGGCUUAUGAAGGCCGAUCCACCAU